RNAcentral lists this long non-coding RNA (766 nucleotides) under Equus caballus (horse). RNAcentral describes it as "lncRNA (ENSECAG00000053637.1)". Lineage: Eukaryota; Metazoa; Chordata; Mammalia; Perissodactyla; Equidae. The record is from RNAcentral.
GUUCAGAGCUCUGCCUCCAGCACACACACCUGUUAGGAGUAUGGCCUGACUGCUCCCAGGAGGCGUAUGUUCCAGAAAAGCAGAUUUGAUCUCUCUGAAGAAGGAGCAGGAGGAGGAGGAAAAAAAAGAGAAGUAAGAAAAACAGGGUGUCAAAUGACUACCCAGCGAUCCUUCAUAGGCGAUCCCAUCGGCUAUUUACCCAGUCCCAUGUUGCUGGACGUUUAGGAUGUUUUCAUGUGUCACACAGUCGUGAAGACUGCUGUAGGAAAAAUUCUUGUGCUUAUAACAUUAUCUAAGUCUCUUCUUGACUUCAGAGAAGCCCCAGGAGCAACGUUGGGGGGCAAAAGGCACACGUGUUUUUGAGGCUCUUAAGAUUGACAUUCAUCAGUUGCCAAGUUGCUGUCUAGAAGGAUUAUUCCCAUGGAGACUCCUCCUGGCAAUGCCAAUGAAAACGCUUCCUCACAAUUGGUACUUGCAUUGUUCCCGGAGCUGCCGCCCACGCCCCGGGCCUCCUGAACCAGGUUGCUGAGUGUCGGGGGAUCCGGCCUUACCUCUGAGUGAGUGAGUGCCGUGGGGACAGCUCGCUUCACCUCCCUGAACCUCGAUUUCCCUCCUCUGUGAAGCGGGGAUCAUUGCAGCCCUCAGCCCAUAGGGCAGUUCAAGCAGACGAGCAAGUGAAUACCCACCAUAGACGUAAGUCUUCAAUAAAUGGUCGUUAUUUAUCUUUCUCGGUUUGGGGUUUGUGCAUAAGAUGCGAAGGACAGCC